Molecule: ribosomal RNA, 396 nt
Filed under: uncultured bacterium
Lineage: Bacteria
Description: partial 16S ribosomal RNA
Rfam family: Bacterial small subunit ribosomal RNA
Source: RNAcentral
AUACGUAGGGAGCGAGCGUUGUCCGGAAUUACUGGGUGAAAAGGGAGCGUAGGCGGGACUGCAAGUCAGAUGUGAAAUACCGGGGCUUAACCCCGGAGCUGCAUUUGAAACUGUGGGUCUUGAGUGAAGUAGAGGCAAGCGGAAUUCCUGGUGUAGCGGUGAAAUGCGUAGAUAUCAGGAGGAACACCGGUGGCGAAGGCGGCUUGCUGGGCUUUUACUGACGCUGAGGCUCGAAAGCGUGGGUAGCAAACAGGAUUAGAUACCCUGGUAGUCCACGCUGUAAACGAUGAUUACUAGGUGUGGGGGGACUGACCCCUUCCGUGCCGCAGUUAACACAAUAAGUAAUCCACCUGGGGAGUACGGCCGCAAGGUUGAAACUCAAAGGAAUUGACGGGG